AAAUGAAUUGACGGGGACCCGCACAAGCAGUGGAGUAUGUGGUUUAAUUCGACGCAACGCGAAGAACCUUACCAGGGCUUGACAUAAUACCGAAUAUGCUAGAGAUAGUAUAGUCCUUCGGGACGGUAUUACAGGUGGUGCAUGGUUGUCGUCAGCUCGUGUCGUGAGAUGUUGGGUUAAGUCCCGCAACGAGCGCAACCCUCGUCUUUAGUUGCCAUCAUUAAGUUGGGCACUCUAGAGAGACUGCCGGUGACAAAUCGGAGGAAGGUGGGGAUGACGUCAAAUCAUCAUGCCCCUUAUGCCCUGGGCUACACACGUACUACAAUGGCUAUUACAGAAGGAAGCGAAGCCGUAAGGUGGAGCAAAUCCCAAAAGAUAGUCUCAGUUCGGAUUGUGGGCUGAAACUCGCCCACAUGAAGUCGGAAUUGCUAGUAAUUGCAGGUCAGCAUACUGCAGUGAAUACGUUCCCGGGUCUUGUACACACCGCCCGU
RNAcentral lists this ribosomal RNA (491 nucleotides) under uncultured bacterium. RNAcentral describes it as "bacterial SSU rRNA". It matches the Rfam family "Bacterial small subunit ribosomal RNA", at positions 903 to 1397 of the family's 1533-position model. The record is from RNAcentral.